This 565-nucleotide long non-coding RNA is filed under the name Salvator merianae (Argentine black and white tegu). RNAcentral describes it as "lncRNA (ENSSMRG00000021650.1)". Lineage: Eukaryota; Metazoa; Chordata; Lepidosauria; Squamata; Teiidae. The record is from RNAcentral.
AGUUCUCACUGCAAGCUUCCCCCAGCAGAUAAUGGGAGUAUUUUCAGUUGGCAAUGAAAUAAUUACUGUAACUGCAAUAAGUAAAUAAAUAAAAUAUGCCCAGUUUUGGUACUUACUGUACAGCAGGACUGCUGCCCUGAGUAAAAAUGCACAUAUCUGUAAGGUGAUCCUACCUUUUCUUCUCAUUUCCAGGUUUCAAAUUCUGUAUCUGGGAGAUUGGUUUUGACUCUGAUCUUGGGUCCCUGCUUUUAGUGCCAUCUAGUGAUAGCAAGAAAUGCUUGCUGCUGCUGCUUUUUUAGUUCAAUUCUUACUGACACUGAAAUGGAAUACCUGCUUUACCUCCAGAUAUUGGAGCAGAGAUCUGAGGAACAAUUCCUUGAGCACUGGUUGAAUCCACACUGCUAUCCACAUUGCAACAGGAACUUAGUGCAUCCAGUGUAAAAAGUGCAGUUUUUCCCAAAAUGGCUCAACAGCCAACGGCAUGGGCCAGUCAGGGACCAGAGGCAGCAAGUACCUCCAGAUGCAGAGGGGACAGACGCAGAAUGCCUCUCAAGGCCAUUUGAAG